Molecule: ribosomal RNA, 400 nt
Filed under: uncultured bacterium
Lineage: Bacteria
Description: bacterial SSU rRNA
Rfam family: Bacterial small subunit ribosomal RNA
Source: RNAcentral
AGGCCUUGACAUCCAAUGAACUUUCUAGAGAUAGCUUAGUGCCUUCGGGAACUCUGAGACAGGUGCUGCAUGGCUGUCGUCAGCUCGUGUUGUGAAAUGUUGGGUUAAGUCCCGCAACGAGCGCAACCCUUAUCCUUUGUUGCCAGCACGUAAUGGUGGGAACUCAAAGGAGACUGCCGGUGAUAAACCGGAGGAAGGUGGGGAUGACGUCAAGUCAUCAUGGCCCUUACGGCCUGGGCUACACACGUGCUACAAUGGUCGGUACAGAGGGUUGCCAAGCCGCGAGGUGGAGCUAAUCUCACAAAACCGAUCGUAGUCCGGAUCGCAGUCUGCAACUCGACUGCGUGAAGUCGGAAUCGCUAGUAAUCGCGAAUCAGAAUGUCGCGGUGAAUACGUUCCC